RNAcentral lists this ribosomal RNA (352 nucleotides) under uncultured bacterium. RNAcentral describes it as "partial 16S ribosomal RNA". It matches the Rfam family "Bacterial small subunit ribosomal RNA", at positions 338 to 707 of the family's 1533-position model. The record is from RNAcentral.
CCUACGGGGGGCUGCAGUGGGGAAUAUUGCACAAUGGGGGAAACCCUGAUGCAGCGACGCCGCGUGAGGGAAGAAGUAAUUCGUUAUGGAAAGCUCGAUCAGCAGGGAAGAAAAGGACGGUACCUGAGUAAGAAGCCCCGGCGAACUACGUGCCAGCAGCCGCGGUAAUACGUAGGGGGCAAGCGUUAUCCGGAUUUACUGGGUGUCAAGGGAGCGUAGACGGCAGUGCAAGUCUGGAGGGAAAGGCGGGGGCUCAACCCCCGGACUGCUCUGGAAACUGUCCGGCUGGAGUGCAGGAGAGGUAAGUGCCAUUCCUCUUGUAGCGGUGCAAUGCGUAGAUAUUAGGCGGAAC